This is a non-coding RNA of Prevotella sp. CAG:520, 71 nucleotides long. The record is from Rfam. NCBI's taxonomy places the organism in Bacteria, Pseudomonadati, Bacteroidota, Bacteroidia, Bacteroidales, Prevotellaceae.
GGAGUAAAGCUUGCCGUGAGAAGUCAGCAGAGGUCAUAGUACCCAAGGCAUGUGUGCCUAUAGGGAAGGAC